Molecule: long non-coding RNA, 1595 nt
Organism: Aethalodelphis obliquidens (Pacific white-sided dolphin)
Lineage: Eukaryota; Metazoa; Chordata; Mammalia; Artiodactyla; Delphinidae
Exons: 4
Source: RefSeq, a predicted model, not a curated record
GGGUUUGCGAGAAAUCUUUGACCCCAGUCGUGAACACACAGAACCAUCAGGCCAUUUGCUAUUAGUGCCCGACAUGCUGAAGACAGCGCAUGGGAAGUGACAACAUGGUCCUCCGUGAUCAUAAGGCACAGUUUAUGCACUUCCUGAAGCUGCUCCCAUCACCUUGUCAUCACAGGAGAAAAUGAAGCGGGUCAGACAGACGCGCAGCGGGGAAGGGCAGGAAGUGUGGGCGGCUGCCUGGGCGCCGUGGGCACUGCCUGGACCCUCCCACAUCAGGGCCAAAGACGGCAGGCUUGGUGCUAAACGGAUCACGACUUCACUGACUGCGCGACACCGUGCACCGGAAAGGUUACCGAAUACACUGGCGCUUGAGGGAAAAGGGGACUCUUGAACUUCCCCCAAGCAGAGUGUAACCAGCACCCUCUGGGAGGGGUGUCCGCGUGUGUGUGUACACGUGCGUGUGCAAAUAACCCCAAGUGCUACUCCUAUAGAGAAGCCUGGAUGUUGUAACCACAAUUUCCUUUUUUUUUUUUCUGUUUGAUUUCUAUACGAAAUUGUGACUGAGUAAUGAACUUCAGAACCACAUAAAUCUGUUUAGGGGAGAAGCAGAAGAAUGACAGAAUUUCUCUUUCUAAACAUCUGAGUCUAGCUUUCUGCUCAGGUAAAGCCUUACACCCGUGACAACACAUCCUGUGACCACAGUGUGACUCUGCUGGGCGUCCUCAGCAGUAACCCAAGGGUGUCACUGAGGAACGGAGGCCACUUCCUGCCAAACACCACACGCUGCUCGCUGGCUGUGGAGGCCACUGAUGGGGCACCAGUAACGAAUGAAGACCUCGAGAGGGCAGCUCACUCAGUACAGUGAGAGCCGUACUACUCCUGAACACCCGCCGAACUCAGCACAAAAGCCUCUGGCCGGGGCGUUAACAAGCUGAGCACGAGUGGGUGCAGACAAAGUUAAGUCGCAAUGCCUUAGGCCAGAAGGACAGACACAUUUUUGCCCAAGGCCCCCAGCACGCCGUCCUUUCGUGCCCCCUGGUGAACUCAGUGCUAUUAGGCACCAGAGGCCUAGUCUUCUUCCUGGUACCCUCUGCUUUACAACUUGAACUAGACCUUAUUUUAAAAGGCCACGCACAGUCGCGUUUUUCAUGAGGGCGAGAGAGGCGUUGCUGUUUUAGUCUGUAUGAAACAUUUUGGCUACGUCCUUGCAAUCUCAUUUUCUAUGCAUUUACCAUAGUUUUCCUAUCACGACCUUGACCAAUUCUUAUUGUACUUCGACUUGUUUAAACGCUUGUCUCCUUAUCUAGAAUGUUAGCUCAGAGAAGGCAGUGACUGGAACAUGAGAUCUGUUACCGCACGAAGGAGUACCAUCUCUUUCAACGGACCCACACAACGGUUCUCACAACCCUCCUCAAGAGCCACCCUGUCCCUCCACAUACCGAAGGCACACACGCUUCUGCUUCUGAACUAACCUGAAAGUCUGUAUCCCGGUCUGCAAACAAGGUCACGAAGAGAUCAAAGCCACAGAGCCCGCCUAAUCGCCCUGAGUCUUUUCACUGAGAAUGAGCUAAAAUAAAGUCCUGGUGAUUUAUGGA